RNAcentral lists this ribosomal RNA (253 nucleotides) under uncultured bacterium. Its description in RNAcentral is "partial 16S ribosomal RNA". It matches the Rfam family "Bacterial small subunit ribosomal RNA", at positions 524 to 776 of the family's 1533-position model. The record is from RNAcentral.
UACAUGGGGUGCAAACGUUGCUCGGAAUUAUUGGGCGUAAAGCGCGCGUAGGCGGUUACUUAUGGCGGAUGUGAAAGCCCUCGGCUUAACUGAGGAAGUGCAUUCGAAACUGGGUAGCUAGAGUACUAAAGAGGGUCGCGGAAUUCCCGGUGUAGAGGUGAAAUUCGUAGAUAUCGGGAGGAACACCGGUGGCGAAGGCGGCGACCUGGGUAGAUACUGACGCUGAGGCGCGAAAGCGUGGGGAGCAAACAGG